GAUGAAGAACGCAGCGAAAUGCGAUAAGUAAUGUGAAUUGCAGAAUUCAGUGAAUCAUCGAAUCUUUGAACGCACAUUGCGCCCCUUGGUAUUCCGGGGGGCAUGCCUGUUCGAGCGUCAUUAUAACCCCUCAAGCUCAGCUUGGUGUUGGGGCCUGCCUACUGGCAGCCCUUAAAAUCAGUGGCGGCGCCAUCUGGCUCUAAGCGUAGUAAUUUCUCUCGCUAUAGGGUCCCGGUGGACGUUUGCCAACAACCCCCAAUUUUUUAAUGGUUGACCUCGGAUCAGGUAGGGAUACCCGCUGAACUUAAGCAUAUCAAUAAGCGGAGGA
RNAcentral lists this unclassified non-coding RNA (328 nucleotides) under soil metagenome. RNAcentral describes it as "partial contains 5.8S ribosomal RNA, internal transcribed spacer 2, and large subunit ribosomal RNA". The stretch from base 1 to 120 matches the Rfam family "5.8S ribosomal RNA", at positions 35 to 154 of the family's 154-position model. The record is from RNAcentral.